GCCAGAACCUGCCUCCUGAAACCUGACUGAGGCUUAAAGGAUCCCUGGGUCAGAUGAGAGCACAGGUGUCAGCUCUGCGCUAGAAACCAGAGAUUUGGCAAUGAUGAUGAUAAUGUCUUGUCCUCAGAAAACUUAGCAAACUUCUACAGCACAAAGGCAUUGGCCCUUCUGCACAAGUGUGAUUUCUGCCCAGCAUGGGAAGAAACUGUAAACCACAACGGGGCAAGGCCAGGUAAUGAUCGGACACGUGCCUCAAAGUCAUUGGAUUUGGUUCUGUGAGCAGCUGAAGAGCCCCUGAUGUCAUCAGAGUAUGUUUCUGACUUCAGAAUCUUUCAAGGAAACACAUUCUAAUCCAACUCAGAGACAGAGCAUGAGCAGGGGAGGGGCAGAGAGAGGGAGACACAGAAUCCGAAGAG
Molecule: long non-coding RNA, 416 nt
Organism: Prionailurus viverrinus (fishing cat)
Lineage: Eukaryota; Metazoa; Chordata; Mammalia; Carnivora; Felidae
Exons: 5
Source: RefSeq, a predicted model, not a curated record